CUUACCUACGGGACGCAGCAGUGAGGCCUCUUGGUCCCUGUUCGCUCGCCUGAACCAGCCAAGUAGCGUGAAGGAUGACUGCCCUAUGGGUUGUAAACUUCUUUUAUAUGGGAAUAAAGUGCAGUAUGUAUACUGCUUUGCAUGUACCUUAUGAAUAAGGAUCGGCUAACUCCGUGCCAGCAGCCGCGGUAAUACGGAGGAUCCGAGCGUUAUCCGGAUUUAUUGGGUUUAAAGGGAGCGUAGGCGGGUUGUUAAGUCAGUUGUGAAAGUUUGCGGCUCAACCGUAAAAUUGCAG
RNAcentral lists this ribosomal RNA (295 nucleotides) under uncultured bacterium. Its description in RNAcentral is "partial 16S ribosomal RNA". It matches the Rfam family "Bacterial small subunit ribosomal RNA", at positions 332 to 626 of the family's 1533-position model. The record is from RNAcentral.